This 1216-nucleotide long non-coding RNA is filed under the name Danio rerio (zebrafish). RNAcentral's name for it is "lncRNA si:dkeyp-104f11.3 (ENSDARG00000096680.2)". The record is from RNAcentral. Lineage: Eukaryota; Metazoa; Chordata; Actinopteri; Cypriniformes; Danionidae.
UUCUAGGUUGAACGUCAGAAGAAGCCAAGGCAAGAACUGAUGAGGCUGAUACAGGAGCCGAUGAAGAAGCCAAGGCAGGAACUGAUGAGGCUGAUACAGGAGCUGAUGAAAAAGCCUGGCAAGGAACUGAUGAGGCUGACGCAGGAGCCGAUGAAGAAGACUGGCAAGGAACUGAUGAGGCUGACGCAGGAGCCGAUGAAGAAGACUGGCAAGGAACUGAUGAGGCUUACGCAGGAGCCGAUGAAGAAGACUGGCCAGGAACUGAUGAGGCUGAUGCAGGAGCCUCCAAUAAAGAAGUCGACGCAGGAGCCUUCAACAAAAAGAGCUGAGUGGUUUCUUCGGCAGACCGCCUUUGUCCUCAACUGCUAAAGAAGGACAAAAAAAAAAAAAAAAAACACAAGAUAGGCAAAAGUCAGUGUCAAAGCAGCAAGAAGACAAUCUCAUCAGCACAGUGUUUUGAUGUUGUGUUUCAUUGAUUAUGCUAUGGUACAUAAACAAUUAAAGACAAUAAUAAAGGGUUAUACACACUGCAAAUUUUAGAUUGUAGAUUUAACUACCUUAGAGUUCAAAUUAACACUCCCUCAGUGUUUAUAUGGGAACCACUAUAAAAGUGUUAAAAAUAACACUUUUGAAAGUGUUAAAAAAAUUUACCACUCAGAGAGUGUUAAUUAGCAAACUCUUAUUGUGUAAAAUAUAUGUAAAAUGUAUAUCAAAAUACUGGCAGCAGUAGCCAAAACCAAAGAUGAAAUCAACUGAGAAUAAAACUUUUAAUAAAAUAAUAAUUAAUAAAAAAAUAAACAAAUUACAAAAUAAAAUUAAUUUUUAUUUUCAACAUCUUUAAAACAACUCAUGACAUUAAACAACUCAUCAUGGAGCUUCACUUAUUACUGAGCUUUGGCUUUAAUUCUGUCAUGUGAACAAAAGCUCUUUAUGAAAUUUCUGUUGUUCAUUUGAAGUCACCAUGAUGGAGGACAGAGUCUGCUUUAGUAGGGCUCUUCAACUUCUUGCUAUAAAUGGUUUUUUUUUUAAUUUGGAUGCUAUAAUUAUUAGUGCUAAUCACACUAUUCUUACAUGUAGCAUGAAAAUUCAAAAGAAAAUGUGAGUGUCAGUCUGAAGAGAUUAACUAUGAUAUCAAAGCCAUCUUCUCCUGCUUGUUUUCUAAUUCAGUGUCACAUUAGUUAUGUGUGUGAAAUAAAUAAAAUACAUAAAUGAAACC